AAACCAACUGGGAUUCCCUUAGUAAGGGCGACUGAAACGGGAAGAGCUCAUCCCUGAAUCCGGGUGGAAAACCAUUACGGAAUUGUAGGGUAAAGACUUUGCUUAAGGUAUUUGUGGAUAUGUGCAAGCAUCUGGAAAGGUGAGCCAUAGAGGGUGAUAGCCCCGUAAUGCAUAUCUACUGUGCUUAAAGCAGGUUUUAAAGAGUCGCGUUGUUUGUGAGUACAGCGCUAAGCAGGAGGUAAAUCACUUCUAAAGCUAAAUAUAACCUAGAGACCGAUAGUGAACAAGUACCGUGAGGGAAAGAUCAAAAGAACUCUGAAAAGAGAGUUAAAAGAACGUGAAAUUGUUGUUGGGGAAGCGGUUGUAUAUGCCUCCACUUGCGGUCGGGGUGUACGGUUAUGUUUAAAUGGGUAACAUGAUUUUUGAUCUGGCCGUUAAAUCGGUUAGUGAUUGAGUUGUGUCCUGUUUUCAUGAUUUAUGCAUCAACGAUCAACAUCGAGUAACCAGUAUGCACCGGAAACCUGUUAAUAUAUGCGAGGGUAGCCGACUUACGGUCUAGUCAAUCGUGGGGGGUCCUUGUGUUGAAUCAGUGUUAAAGGUGCUGGGAUAAAAACUUAUCAGUAUAUUUGGGUGUUUGGUGACCUUAGGUGAUCCUUACAUUUGGGUAUAUUGGGAUACUGGUAUGAGGACACCAACCGUC
Molecule: ribosomal RNA, 700 nt
Filed under: uncultured fungus
Lineage: Eukaryota; Fungi
Description: eukaryotic LSU rRNA
Rfam family: Eukaryotic large subunit ribosomal RNA
Source: RNAcentral